AAAGUACGCGCGCCGAGAUGGCUGGGGUGUGAUGUGGACAGAAAACAAGUAUGGAAGCUGCCGAAUUCACGCUGGCGAGAAAAGCUGCUAGGGAGCCUUUCGGACGCCCGUACCGCAAACCGACACAGGUAGGCGAGGAGAGAAUCCUAAGACGAUCGGGAGAACCCUUGUUAAGGAACUCGGCAAAAUGACCCCGUAACUUCGGGAGAAGGGGUGCCGGGCAGUAAAGUGUCCGGCCGCAGCGAAUAGGCCCAAGCGACUGUUUAGCAAAAACACAGGUCUGUGCCAAGUCGAGAGACGACGUAUACGGGCUGACGCCUGCCCAGUGCUGGAAGGUUAAGGGGAAGUGUUAGCGCUUUAAGCGCGAAGCACGGAACUUAAGCCCCAGUGAACGGCGGCCGUAACAAUAACGGUCCUAAGGUAGCGAAAUUCCUUGUCGGGUAAGUUCCGACCUGCACGAAUGGCGUAACGACUUGGGCGCUGUCUCAACAAGGGACCCGGCGAAAUUGAAGUAUGCGUGAAGAUGCGCAUUACCCGCGAUAGGACGGAAAGACCCCGUAGAGCUUUACUGUAGCCUGAUAUUGGAUUUCGGUAACGGAUGUACAGGAUAGGUGGGAGGCAUGGAAGCGAGGACGCCAGUCUUCGCGGAGCCAGCCUUGGGAUACCACUCUUCUGUUGCUGGGGUUCUAACGAAUGUGGUAAUCACGCAUUUGGACAGUGUCAGGCGGGCAGUUUGACUGGGGCGGUCGCCUCCUAAAGAGUAUCGGAGGCGCCCAAAGGUUCCCUCAGAAUGGUCGGAAAUCAUUCGCAGAGUGCAAAGGCAGAAGGGAGCCUGACUGCGAGAGAGACAUCUCGAGCAGGGACGAAAGUCGGGCUUAGUGAUCCGGCGGCAUUGAGUGGAAGAGCCGUCGCUCAACGGAUAAAAGCUACCUCGGGGAUAACAGGCUUAUCUCCCCCAAGAGUCCACAUCGACGGGGAGGUUUGGCACCUCGAUGUCGGCUCGUCGCAUCCUGGGGCUGAAGCAGGUCCCAAGGGUUUGGCUGUUCGCCAAUUAAAGCGGCACGCGAGCUGGGUUCAGAACGUCGUGAGACAGUUCGGUCCCUAUCCAUCGUGGGCGCAGGAGAUUUGAGAGGAGCUGUUCCUAGUACGAGAGGACCGGAAUGGACGCACCUCUGGUGAACCGGUUGUCGCGCCAGCGGCAUCGCCGGGUAGCCAAGUGCGGCAGGGAUAAACGCUGAAAGCAUCUAAGUGUGAAGCCCGCCUCAAGAUAAGAUCUCCCAUCCCUUUAACGGGAGUAAGACCCCUUGAAGACCACAAGGUUGAUAGGCCGGGAGUGGAAGUGCAGUAAUGCAUGGAGCGGACCGGUACUAAUAGGUCGAGGGCUUGACAAA
Molecule: ribosomal RNA, 1391 nt
Filed under: metagenome
Description: bacterial LSU rRNA
Rfam family: Bacterial large subunit ribosomal RNA
Source: RNAcentral